RNAcentral lists this ribosomal RNA (416 nucleotides) under Subparmatus marinkellei. RNAcentral describes it as "Carios marinkellei partial 16S ribosomal RNA". The record is from RNAcentral. Lineage: Eukaryota; Metazoa; Arthropoda; Arachnida; Ixodida; Argasidae.
GGUAUUUUGACUAUACGAAGGUAUUGAAAUAAGGCUUUAAUUGAGUGCUAAGAGAAUGGUUUAACAAAAAUUAUCUUUCUUUAAAUUUAAAAUGGAAUUUGAUUUAAAAAUGAAAAAGUUUUUAUGAGAUUUUGGGACAAGAAGACCCUAUGAAUUUUUUCAAAAAUUUUAUUUUGGGAAUUUGAUAGAGAAUUAAAAAUAGAGUUUUUGAUUGGUUGGGGUGACUUUUAAAGAAUAAUUAUCUUUAGAAAAAGGAGGAAUUGGAUCCUAAAAUUUGGAAUAUUUAAAUAAAAUACUCUAGGGAUAACAGCGUUAUUAUUUUGGAUAGUUCAUAUAGAUAGAAUAGUUUGCGACCUCGAUGUUGGAUUAAGAUUCUUUUAUAAUGGAGCGGUUAUAAGAAGAAGUUUGCUCAACUU